UACAGAGGGGGCAAGCGUUAUUCGGAAUUAUUGGGCGUAAAGGGCGCGUAGGCGGCGUCUCAAGUGGAUGGUGAAAUCCCCGGGCUUAACCUGGGAACUGCCGUCCAAACUGAGAGGCUUGAGUCCGGGAGAGGUAAGUGGAAUUCCCAGUGUAGCGGUGAAAUGCGUAGAUAUUCGCAAGAACACCAGUGGCGAAGGCGGCUCACUGGCCCGGUACUGACGCUGAGGUGCGAAAGCGUGGGGAGCAAACAGG
Molecule: ribosomal RNA, 253 nt
Filed under: uncultured bacterium
Lineage: Bacteria
Description: partial 16S ribosomal RNA
Rfam family: Bacterial small subunit ribosomal RNA
Source: RNAcentral